RNAcentral lists this ribosomal RNA (451 nucleotides) under uncultured bacterium. RNAcentral describes it as "partial 16S ribosomal RNA". It matches the Rfam family "Bacterial small subunit ribosomal RNA", at positions 328 to 795 of the family's 1533-position model. The record is from RNAcentral.
AAGCCAGACUCCUACGGGAGGCAGCAGUGGGGAAUAUUGCACAAUGGGGGAAACCCUGAUGCAGCAACGCCGCGUGAGUGAGGAAGUAUUUCGGUAUGUAAAGCUCUAUCAGCAGGGAAUAGAAAAGAAGGUACCUGAAAAAGAAGCCCCGGCUAACUACGUGCCAGCAGCCGCGGUAAUACGUAGGGGGCAAGCGUUAUCCGGAUUCACUGGGUGUAAAGGGAGCGUAGACGGCCAAGCAAGCCAGGGGUGAAAGCCCGGGGCCCAACCCCGGGACUGCCCUUGGAACUGCAUGGCUGGAGUGCGGGAGGGGCAGGCGGAAUUCCUAGUGUAGCGGUGAAAUGCGUAGAUAUUAGGAGGAACACCGGUGGCGAAGGCGGCCUGCUGGACGACGACUGACGCUGAGGCUCGAAAGCGUGGGGAGCAAACAGGAUUAGAUACCCCCGUAGAC